This is a long non-coding RNA of Anguilla rostrata (American eel), 1029 nucleotides long. RefSeq lists it as uncharacterized. The transcript is spliced from 3 exons. Lineage: Eukaryota; Metazoa; Chordata; Actinopteri; Anguilliformes; Anguillidae. The record is from RefSeq and is a predicted model, not a curated record.
GGAAGGCACACACUACAUCCUCGAAUCCCCCCCCCCCCCCCUUUUUAAAAGCAUAAUCUCAGAUAAAGCAUUAACAAGACAAGAACUGACUCUAAUUGAUCAGCCAGCCAGGACAGGAAUACCCAGGAAAAUGUAUCACUUCGGUUCCAGCUGUAGCUAUUUUAGCCGAUUGGGCUGUCAGAGAUUCACACAGACAGCACAGCCGAGCCAUUAGCGUAUAUAAAUAAUGUACAGCCCUUUUUCUGUGCUACUCAGCUAAGUGCCUGCAAACCUUGGGCUCCCCGUGUCAGGUAUUCAAUAGAUUAGCGCGAGAUUUAUUUUAAGUCCAUAAAGCACGGUGUUCUUGACAGCACCGGGAGGGGAUUGAGUGUUACACGCAACGUGCAUCUGAACAUCUUCAUUUGUAUCUCGCGAUGGAGAGACGGGGCUGAGACAGCGACCGUGUCAGACGCGAAGAGAAGAUAACCGUUUCCCCCCCGCCUGGAGUGUGGAAAACAGGCCUCGCCACGGCUCGGAUUAGUUACAGGGAGCUCGCACAAGCCGGCGAAUGAAGGGAAGAUCCCAGGAUCCACCGGUGCGCUCGUCGCCAUGGACACAAGGGUUUUCCGUUUUAUUUUAUUUCAUUUGUUUUGCCGUGAAGGCAGGGGCCUCCUCCUUGCUGUUUUCGGAAAAUCGGAAGCGAAAAAUCAGAUGUUUUGGACGUUAAGAAGACACAUUACAUUCAAACCAAACAGAAUGACUGUUCUUCACUUGGCAGUUGAGACGGAAUGGUUGCAAAUGGGGGGGAAAAAAAGCUUUACAUCAGUGUUCAAAUUCACUUCGUGUACUUUUGAAAUAAAUCUCUGUGUCUCUGUAAAUCUCUGUGUAAACUAUAAGAUGGACAGCAGCUGUUAAACUGUGUACCAAUGUAAAUUAAACAUAGUUAUCUCAAAAUGCGAGAGUUCAUUGUCGUAUGUAUUUCACUGUAGCCUACCUGAUAUUUGUGGAGACAUGAUGAUAUCAUUGUUUACAUUUAAUACAAAAUAAUUU